AUGUGUUUCCUCCUCGGGGCCUCUUGUUUGUGCAGGAGGCUGGGAGCGUUUCCUCCUCCCGGAAAAGCUCCGGGUGGGCACUCACAUCCCCGACUUCCCCAGCCUCCAAAACACCUCAAAUUCAGGAAUCAGAUCCUCCCCCUGAAACCUGCAGAGCUCCCCUGCACCUCCUGCUUCUGGCUUUUAAUCCAAGAGCAGGGCCCUGAGCCCUGCCAGGGCUGGGAAUUCCAGUCAAAUCCCCAGCUGCUGCUGGAAGAGAGAAACAAUCAAAUACAGACCUGGGGAGGGUCCCACGGCAGCAAAAUCGCUGGGUUUUUCCUGCAGGGCUGGAACGAGGAAGAGAUAAACCAGGUUUGCUCCAGAGCACGGGCAAACAACUGCUUAUCACCACGUUGGCAGCCUCAAGGCUAUUGCAGGGUGUCAGGAAAAGUAUUAUUCCUCUCCUCUCCAGGGAAAGGUUCUAUUUUUGGCCCCUCCGUCACAGGGAGCUGCUGCCUGCACCCGCUGGGGGCUGGGAGAGCAGCCAGCCCUGCAGAGCCCCUUCCCCCCCGCCAAACUCACCGGGGAACACACGGAAUCUGGGGGAAACAGAGGCAGGUUUGGUUCAAGCUGCAGAACCCACCCUGCCCUGGCUGGCAGAGAAAGCUGCAGGAGAAAUUAGAGCUUUUUCCAGGGCCUGGAGGGGCUCCAGGAGAGCUGGAGAGGGGCUGGGGACAAGGGAUGGAGGGACAGGACACAGGGAACGGCUCCCACUGCCAGAGGGCAGGGCUGGAUGGGAUACUGGGCAGGAAUUGUUCCCUGGCAGGGUGGGCAGGGCCUGGCUGUGGCUGCCCCAUCCCUGGAAGUGUCUCCUGGACAGGGCUUGGAGAAAUCUGGGACAGUGGAAGGUUCCCUGCCCAUGGCAGGGGCUGGAAUGGGAUGAGCUUUAAGGUUCCUCCCAGCCCAAAGCCCAGCUGCAGAGGGGCAGAGCCAGACUGUGUGCUGGAUUUUCCAAUGACAUUUUAG
This 1005-nucleotide long non-coding RNA is filed under the name Cyanistes caeruleus (blue tit). Its description in RNAcentral is "lncRNA (ENSCCEG00000007214.1)". Lineage: Eukaryota; Metazoa; Chordata; Aves; Passeriformes; Paridae. The record is from RNAcentral.